UAGCAUAUCAAUAAGCGGAGGAAAAGAAACCAACAGGGAUUGCCCUAGUAACGGCGAGUGAAGCGGCAACAGCUCAAAUUUGAAAUCUGGCUCUUUUAGAGUCCGAGUUGUAAUUUGCAGAGGGCGCUUUGGCUUUGGCAGCGGUCCAAGUUCCUUGGAACAGGACGUCACAGAGGGUGAGAAUCCCGUACGUGGUCGCUGGCUAUUGCCGUGUAAAGCCCCUUCGACGAGUCGAGUUGUUUGGGAAUGCAGCUCUAAAUGGGAGGUACAUUUCUUCUAAAGCUAAAUAUUGGCCAGAGACCGAUAGCGCACAAGUAGAGUGAUCGAAAGAUGAAAAGCACUUUGGAAAGAGAGUCAAACAGCACGUGAAAUUGUUGAAAGGGAAGCGCUUGCAGCCAGACUUGCUUACAGUUGCUCAUCCGGGUUUUUACCCGGUGCACUCUUCUGUAGGCAGGCCAGCAUCAGUUUGGGCGGUAGGAUAAAGGUCUCUGUCACGUACCUCCUUUCGGGGAGGCCUUAUAGGGGAGACGACAUACUACCAGCCUGGACUGAGGUCCGCGCAUCUGCUAGGAUGCUGGCGUAAUGGCUGUAAGCGGCCCGUCUUGAAACACGGACCAAGGAGUCUAACAUCUAUGCGAGUGUUUGGGUGUCAAGCCCGAGCGCGUAAUGAAAGUGAACGGAGGUGGGAACCCGCAAGGGUGCACCAUCGACCGAUCCUGAUGUCUUCGGAAGGAUUUGAGUAAGAGCAUGGCUGUUGGGACCCGAAAGAUGGUGAACUAUGCUUGAAUAGGGUGAAGCCAGAGGAAACUCUGGUGGAGGCUCGCAGCGGUUCUGACGUGCAAAUCGAUCGUCAAAUUUGGGCAUAGGGGCGAAAGACUAAUUCGAA
This 886-nucleotide ribosomal RNA is filed under the name Alternaria alternata. RNAcentral describes it as "partial large subunit ribosomal RNA". It matches the Rfam family "Eukaryotic large subunit ribosomal RNA", at positions 36 to 939 of the family's 3401-position model. The record is from RNAcentral. Lineage: Eukaryota; Fungi; Ascomycota; Dothideomycetes; Pleosporales; Pleosporaceae.